This 1053-nucleotide ribosomal RNA is filed under the name Triticum aestivum (bread wheat). RNAcentral describes it as "partial small subunit ribosomal RNA". Lineage: Eukaryota; Viridiplantae; Streptophyta; Magnoliopsida; Poales; Poaceae. The record is from RNAcentral.
AUGUCUAGCGCCGGUGAUCCCGGCGGCGGGAUCGCAGGGCCUGGGCGCGCGGCGCGGCUGCCGCGGUGGACGCGGCAGGAGAUACUGGUCCUCAUCGAGGGGAAGCGGGUGGUGGAGGUACGCGGGCGCGGCAGGGGCAGGGGAGCAGCGGGCGGAGCGGCCGCGGAGCCGACCAAGUGGGCGGCUGUGGCGGAGUACUGCCGGCGGCACGGCGUGGAGCGGGGCCCCGUGCAGUGCCGGAAGCGGUGGAGCAACCUCGCCGGCGACUACAAGAAGAUCAGGGAGUGGGAGCGCUCGCUGCCGUCCUUGGCGGGGAAGGAGGUGUCCUUCUGGGCCAUGCGGAACGACGCGCGGCGGGAGAGGAGGCUCCCGGGCUUCUUCGACCGCGAGGUGUACGACAUAAUCGAGGGCCGUGGCAGCGGCGGCGGCGGCAUCCGCGACAGUGGCAGUAAUGCGGCCGCGGUGCUUGCGGAGGUUGGGGAGGAGGAGGGCAAGGAGAAGGUGGUGUUCGACAGUGGCCGCGCGUCCGUGGCCGGGGACGACGGGCUGUUUUCGUCCUCAUCGUCGUCUGAGGAAGAGGACGAGGAAACGUCCACGCCUGCGCCUGCGCCUGCGCCUCCGCCGGUGCCGGUGCCGGUUCUGCCGACGGCUCCAUAUCCGUCUCCAUCUCAGCCGCCCGCGGUGGUGGCCGUGCCCGUGCCCGUGCCUGUACCCGAGAAGAAGACCGAGGCACCUACGCAAGGGAGCUCAGAGCAAGCAGGGACAUCCAAAGGCAAGCAACAAGAAGAAAUUAGAAUUACCGAUGAGCCGCCACCACCGCAGGGUGGGCAGAAGAGGCAGCGCAGCGAUGAUGCCCCAGGAGAAACCGCUGACCUGCAGGGCAAGCUUGUUGAGAUUCUAGACCGGAGCAGCCGGAUGGUGGCGGCACAGCUGGAGGCGCAGAACAUCAACUGCCAACUGGAUAGGGAGCAGAGGAAGGACCAAGUGAGCAGCUUGCUAGGUGUGCUUGGCAAGGUGGCUGAUGCCCUCUACAGAAUUGCUGACAAGCUGUAG